GAAGGGACACCACAGAGGCCAACUACCUCUGUACUCAUUGGAAUGAAUGGUUUGACCAUUCUCUCUGCUGACACUCAGCUGUUUCACAACUCUAGUCAGUAAAACAGAAUCUUCAGCUUAAGUAUGCAAGGGAAGUGUAAAAAGCAGGUAUAUCAUAAAAAAAAAGGUCUCUUCUCUCAGAGAGGUAAAAGGAAGCAUUCUGAACAAUAAAGCAGCAAAACAUUUUUCAACAGAUAUCUCUGCAAGAUAAGUUGACUACAAAGCAAAGUGCUUAAGACUCUCAGUGAAGUACUAGUAGUUAGAAGAGUUCAUUUGAUGUUUUAAAAUUACUCUUGUUAAUCUGUAAAAGGUGAAAUAAAAGAAUGCUCCAAAAAC
This is a long non-coding RNA of Gavialis gangeticus (Gharial), 375 nucleotides long. RefSeq lists it as uncharacterized. NCBI's taxonomy places the organism in Eukaryota, Metazoa, Chordata, Crocodylia, Gavialidae. The transcript is spliced from 2 exons. The record is from RefSeq and is a predicted model, not a curated record.